AGCGAACGCUGGCGGCAGGCCUAACACAUGCAAGUCGAACGAACCUUUCGGGGUUAGUGGCGGACGGGUGAGUAACACGUGGGAACGUGCCUUUAGGUUCGGAAUAACUCAGGGAAACUUGUGCUAAUACCGAAUGUGCCCCUCGGGGGAAAGAUUUAUCGCCUUUAGAGCGGCCCGCGUCUGAUUAGCUAGUUGGUUGAGGGAAUGGCCCACCAAGGCGACGAUCAGUAGCUGGUCUGAGAGGAUGGUCAGCCACAUUGAGACUGAGACACGGCCCGAACUCCUACGGGAGGCAGCAGUGGGGAAUCUUGCGCAAUGGGCGAGAGCAUGACGCAGCCAUGCCGCGUGAAUGAUGAAGGUCUUAGGGUUGUAAAAUUCUUUCACCGGGGACGAUAAUGACGGUACCCGGAGAAGAAGCCCCGGCUAACUUCGUG
This 434-nucleotide ribosomal RNA is filed under the name uncultured bacterium. Its description in RNAcentral is "partial 16S ribosomal RNA". It matches the Rfam family "Bacterial small subunit ribosomal RNA", at positions 29 to 507 of the family's 1533-position model. The record is from RNAcentral.